CAGUGGCACACGCCUGUAGUCCCAGCUGCCCAGGAAACUGGGGUGGGAGGAUCUCCUGAGCCCGGGAGGCUCAGGAGGCUGCAGUGAGCCAUGAUUGAGUCACUGCAUUCCAGCCUGGGAGACAGAGCAAGACCCCGUCUAGAAAAAUAAAGUUUCUUCUGGUGUGGUGGUCUUGGGGCAGAGUUCCAAAAGAGUGAAAAUGGAAGCUGCAAAGUUUUUCAAGCUGAGACAUCCACCUUCUCCUGCCAUUGGACAUCUCGGGCCUUCUGACUUGGACCAGGACAGAUGCUGUUGGCUCCCUUGGUCCUCAGGCUUUCAGAUUCGUACUGGAACCGCAUCACCAGCUUUCUCGGGCCUCCAGCUUGCAGAUGGCAGAUAGUGGGACUUCUCCGCCUCCAUAAUCCUAUGAAUCAAUCCCUGUAAUAAAUCUCUUCCUGUUCAUAACUAUCUAUCUAUUUAUCUGUCUAUCUAUCUAUCUAUCUACCUACCUACCUACCUAUUAUCUGUCUACCUAUCGCUGAUUUUUUUUUUUGAGAUGGAGUCUCACUCUAUUGCUCAGGCUGGAGUGCAGUGGUGUGAUCUUGCCUCACUGCAACCUCUGCCUUCUGGGUUCAAGCGAUUCUCCUGCCUCAGCCUCCCAAGUAGCUGGGACUACAGGCAUGUGCCACCACGCCCAGCUAAUUUUUGUAUUUUUAGUAGACAUGAGGUUUCACCAUGUUGCCCAGGCUGUUUUCGAAUUCCUGACCUCAGGUGAUCCGCCCAUCUCAGCCUCCCAAAGUGGUGGGAUUACGGGCAUUACCUAUCAUCUAUUUAUCUCUUUAUUAUCUAUCUAUCUAUCUAUCUAUCUAUCUAUCUAUCAUCUGGUAUCUAUCACCUAUCUCAUCUAUGAUCUAUCAAUCUAUUAUCUAUCAUCUAUCUAUUAAUCUAUUAUCUAUCAAUCUAUCACCUAUCAAUCUAUUUCUAUUAUUUAUCUAUUAUAAAUCAAUCUAUUGCUCUAUCUGCCUAUCAUCUAUUUAUCAUCUAUCUACCUAUCAUCUAUUUAUGUACCUAUCUACCUAUCAUCUAUUUAUCAUCUAUUAUCUAUCACUUAUCUAUCAUCUAUCAAUCUACACUUGAUUUUAGCCAAAAGGCCAAGAGGCGAUCUAUCUAUCAUCUAUCAAUCUAUUAUCUAUCAUCUAUUAAUAUAAUUAUCUAUCUAUCUAUCUAUCUAUCUAUCUAUCUAUCUAUCUAUCCUACUGGUUCUAUUUCCCUGGAGAACCCUGACUAACACAGGCGGUAAGUAAGUUGUAGUGGUAACUGGGUUUGAGUCUGCCUCCUCCACUCCUCAACCACUUGAAUCUCUCUAUGCCCUGCCUUAGCCACCUAUGAAAUGGGAAUAAUUACAGCAAGGCCAACUCUUCUUCUUUUUUGGAGACGGAGUCUCACUCUUUCACCCAGCCUGGAGUGCAGUGGUGCGAUUUCAGCUCACUGCAACCUCCGCCUCCUGGGUUCAAGUAAUUCUCCUGCCUCAGCCUCCGGAGUAGCCGGCUAAUUUUUUUGUAUUUUUAGUAGAGACGGGGUUUCACCUUGUUGCCCAGGCUGAUUUCAAACUCCUGAGCUCAGGCUAACCGCCUGUCUUGGCCAAGUCUUCUUAAUGUCUGUUCAGCAUCUCUUCUCCCUGUCUUCCUUUUGUCACUGGAACCCCCCCAUAGGAUGCCCUAACACACAGAUUUUGGUAUGAGUGUGUUCGGCCCCAUCUAACUGAGGAUGCAUCGGAGAGGUCAGAUGUGCACAUUCACUGUGAAGGGACAGCCUUGAACGUGGACCCACACAGGGGUGAUUACUGGUGAUGAAAACUCCCUUGAGUUUUACUGAGUUGCAUUGCCAGAAGUGACAUGAUUGUCUAAAGUAGUGAAC
This 1896-nucleotide long non-coding RNA is filed under the name Homo sapiens (human). Its description in RNAcentral is "HSALNT0268018". The record is from RNAcentral. Lineage: Eukaryota; Metazoa; Chordata; Mammalia; Primates; Hominidae.